CCUACGGGGCGCAGCAGUCGAGAAUCAUUCACAAUGGGGGAAACCCUGAUGGUGCGACGCCGCGUGGGGGAAUGCAGGUCUUCGGAUUGUAAACCCCUGUCAUGUGGGAGCAAAUUAAAAAGAUAGUACCACAAGAGGAAGAGACGGCUAACUCUGUGCCAGCAGCCGCGGUAAUACAGAGGUCUCAAUCGUUGUCCGGAAUCCAUGGGCGUAAAGCGUGCGUAGGCUGUUUCGUAAGUCGUGUGUGAAAGGCGAGGGCUCAACCCGCGGACGGCACAUGAUACUGGGAGACUAGAGUAAUGGAGGGGGAACCGGAAUUCUCGGUGUAGCAGUGAAAUGCGUAGAUAUCGAGAGGAACACUCGUGGCGAAGGCGGGUUCCUGGACAUUAACUGACGCUGAGGCACGAAGGCCAGGGGAGCGAAAGGGAUUAGAUACCCCAGUAGUC
Molecule: ribosomal RNA, 446 nt
Filed under: uncultured bacterium
Lineage: Bacteria
Description: partial 16S ribosomal RNA
Rfam family: Bacterial small subunit ribosomal RNA
Source: RNAcentral